Molecule: ribosomal RNA, 253 nt
Filed under: uncultured bacterium
Lineage: Bacteria
Description: partial 16S ribosomal RNA
Rfam family: Bacterial small subunit ribosomal RNA
Source: RNAcentral
UACGUAGGGGGCAAGCGUUGUCCGGAUUUAUUGGGCGUAAAGAGCGUGUAGGCGGCCUUACAGGUCAGCUGUGAAAACUCGAGGCUCAACCUCGAGACGUCGGUUGAAACCGUAAGGCUAGAGUCCGGAAGAGGAGAGUGGAAUUCCCGGUGUAGCGGUGAAAUGUGCAGAUAUCGGGAAGAACACCCGUGGCGAAGGCGGCUCUCUGGGACGGUACUGACGCUGAGACGCGAAAGCGUGGGGAGCGAACAGG